RNAcentral lists this ribosomal RNA (264 nucleotides) under Fidelibacterota bacterium. Its description in RNAcentral is "partial 23S ribosomal RNA". It matches the Rfam family "Bacterial large subunit ribosomal RNA", at positions 2657 to 2925 of the family's 2925-position model. Lineage: Bacteria; Pseudomonadati; Fidelibacterota. The record is from RNAcentral.
GAAAUUUGAAGGAAUCUGCUUCUAGUACGAGAGGACCGAAGCGGACGAACCUCUAGUGUACCUGUUGUUAUAUCAAUAGCAUCGCAGGGUAGCUACGUUCGGCAGGGAUAAGCGCUGAAAGCAUAUAAGUGCGAAACCCAUCCUAAGAUAAGAUUUCCCUGAAGACUUCCAGAAGAAUACUGGUUUGAUAGGCCACAGAUGUAAGUACAGUAAUGUAUUUAGUCGAGUGGUACUAAGUAGUCGUUCGACUUGACUUCUUUUUAU